AUUACCAUGAGCAAAUCAGAGUGUUUAAAGCAGGCUUUUUAAGCUUGAACGUGUUAGCAUGGAAUAAUGAAAUAUGACCCAGGGUCUAUUUCGUUGGUUUUGAGACCCAAAGUAAUGAUGAAUAGGAGUGGUCGGGGGCAUUUGUAUUUCGGCGCUAGAGGUGAAAUUCUUGGAUUG
This 177-nucleotide ribosomal RNA is filed under the name Lichtheimia corymbifera. RNAcentral's name for it is "partial 18S ribosomal RNA". It matches the Rfam family "Eukaryotic small subunit ribosomal RNA", at positions 751 to 927 of the family's 1831-position model. The record is from RNAcentral. Lineage: Eukaryota; Fungi; Mucoromycota; Mucoromycetes; Mucorales; Lichtheimiaceae.